Molecule: ribosomal RNA, 460 nt
Filed under: uncultured bacterium
Lineage: Bacteria
Description: partial 16S ribosomal RNA
Rfam family: Bacterial small subunit ribosomal RNA
Source: RNAcentral
CCUACGGGUGGCAGCAGUGAGGAAUAUUGGUCAAUGGACGGAAGUCUGAACCAGCCAUGCCGCGUGCAGGAAGAAGGCUCUCUGAGUUGUAAACUGCUUUUGUACGAGAGUAAACCUGAAUACGUGUAUUCAACUCAAAGGACUGUACGAAUAAAGAUCGGCUAACUCCGUGCAAGCAGCCGCGGUAAUACGGAGGAUCCAAGCGUUAUCCGGAUUUAUUGGGUUUAAAGGGUGCGUAGGCAGAGUGAUAAGUCAGAGGUGAAAGGUCCGAGCGUAACUCGGGAACUGCAUUGAAUACUGUUGAUCUAGAGAGUAGAUGCGGUAGGCGGAAUGCAUGGUGUAGCGGUGAAAUGCUUAGAGAUUAUACAGAACACCGAUUGCGAAGGCAGCUUACCAAUCUAUAUCUGACGUUGAGGCACGAAAGCGUGGGGAGCAAACAGGAUUAGAUACCCGAGUAGUC